Molecule: non-coding RNA, 895 nt
Organism: Paramuricea clavata
Lineage: Eukaryota; Metazoa; Cnidaria; Anthozoa; Malacalcyonacea; Plexauridae
Source: the annotation of a GenBank genome assembly
CUCGAAUAACGUGGAAAAACUCGCCCUAAGCCUAUAUAGGUCUCGUUUUCCCACACAUUAUAUCCAGGCAUUAUGCUAUGUUUGUAGUAAUAAGGCUUUUCAAAAAGCAAUUGAAAUUUUUAAUAACCACAAACCUGUAGACGCUCAGAAAUGCCAAGAUUGUAUGUGAUAAACCUUUUUUUCUUAUUAUGAAAUGUCACUCGCCCCAGGUUUCGAAGUGAAGCAGCGCAAAUUAUUAAGUACGGCUCAUGAAAAGCACGCCUGUCUAAAUCAAAAUUAGAAGUACGCCUAUUUUACUCGAGUAAAAUAUGAAUUAAGUUCGGCUCAUGAAAAGCACGGCGUCUAAACCGGGCCUUAACUGGGGCAUGAACGUUUAUAAGUCCGUAACAAUCAUGGAUAAUUUUGACAGAACUCAUUUGAACCCUGCAACCAAGGCCUGAAUUUCGAAUCGCAUGCAUCUAUAGCAAGGAUGAUCGUCAGAAUGUCAGUUGUUUGGAACAUGACAGCUUACACUGAUAAACUUGUGGUCCUCAAACUGUUAUAAACUACAAGCAAUAAUCCUAAAUCCUAAUCCUAAAAACUAAUAUUUAUACCAUAUAACGGUGGCCAACUCGAAAGCUUAAUCUCAGCUACUUUGGCCACUGUACACGAUAUAAUACCAUAAUUAACUCCCUUUUUUUUCCCUUCCAUUAUGAUUUUUUUGUGAUGUAAUUAAUGUCUAACUAUAUCUUUUUGUAAACGUGUGAAAUAAAUUUGAAUUGAAUUGAAUAUAUGUUUCGUAGUUAUCAUUUCAUGUUUAUCAUGCCAUAUUUCGUCAGUUCUUGUUAGUUAGCACAUGUUUCGUGAGUCGGACUAGUGAUGUUUUACAGGGAAACGCGGGGGAACGCCGUCCUCC